Molecule: ribosomal RNA, 270 nt
Filed under: uncultured archaeon
Lineage: Archaea
Description: partial 16S ribosomal RNA
Rfam family: Archaeal small subunit ribosomal RNA
Source: RNAcentral
CAGCACCUCAAGUGGUCAGGAUGAUUAUUGGGCCUAAAGCAUCCGUAGCCGGCGCUGUAAGUUUUCGGUUAAAUCUGUACGCUCAACGUACAGGCUGCCGGGAAUACUGCAGCGCUAGGGAGUGGGAGAGGUAGACGGUACUCGGUAGGAAGGGGUAAAAUCCUUUGAUCUACUGAUGACCACCUGUGGCGAAGGCGGUCUACCAGAACACGUCCGACGGUGAGGGAUGAAAGCUGGGGGAGCAAACCGGAUUAGAGACCCGAGUAGUCC